Molecule: ribosomal RNA, 500 nt
Filed under: uncultured bacterium
Lineage: Bacteria
Description: partial 16S ribosomal RNA
Rfam family: Bacterial small subunit ribosomal RNA
Source: RNAcentral
AUUGAACGCUGGCGGAAUGCUUUACACAUGCAAGUCGAACGGCAGCACGGACUUCGGUCUGGUGGCGAGUGGCGAACGGGUGAGUAAUGUAUCGGAACGUGCCCAGUCGUGGGGGAUAACGUAGUGAAAAUUACGCUAAUACCGCAUACGGUCUAUGGAUGAAAGCGGGGGAUCGCAAGACCUCGCGCGAUUGGAGCGGCCGAUAUCAGAUUAGGUAGUUGGUGGGGUAAAGGCCCACAAAGCCAACGAUCUGUAGCUGGUCUGAGAGGACGACCAGCCACACUGGAACUGAGACACGGUCCAGACUCCUACGGGGGGCAGCAGUGGGGAAUUUUGGACAAUGGGCGAAAGCCUGAUCCAGCCAUUCCGCGUGCAGGAUGAAGGCCCUCGGGUUGUAAACUGCUUUUGUACAGAACGAAAAGGUUUCUACUAAUACUAGGAGCUCAUGACGGUACUGUAAGAAUAAGCACCGGCUAACUACGUGCCAGCAGCCGCCGCCG